Molecule: transfer RNA, 74 nt
Filed under: Treponema sp.
Lineage: Bacteria; Pseudomonadati; Spirochaetota; Spirochaetia; Treponematales; Treponemataceae
Description: tRNA-Arg
Rfam family: tRNA
About the family: Transfer RNA (tRNA) molecules are approximately 80 nucleotides in length.
Source: RNAcentral
GCGUCCGUAGCUCAUCCGGAUAGAGCGACGGACUUCGAAUCCGUAGGCAGCAGGUUCGAGUCCUGUCGGACGCA